Molecule: long non-coding RNA, 1810 nt
Filed under: Gallus gallus (chicken)
Lineage: Eukaryota; Metazoa; Chordata; Aves; Galliformes; Phasianidae
Description: long non-coding RNA NONGGAT011659
Source: RNAcentral
UGGGGACAGCCUUGUUGCGGUAGAGCCCUCCUCUGCCCCACGGCCUCCAGGGCCUCCCCACUGCAGGGCCUCCAGGGCACCAGAGGCAUCCCCCAGCCAAUCAGAGCGCUGCAUCCAAGGCAGGACCUGCUGUGGUAAUCACAGCCCGCACCCACCCCCCUCGGGCGUCACCCAGCAAAUCCAACACUGAGGCAAGGGGAAAGGGGGAGCUGCUGCUUUCCCAACAGCCAAUCAGCUGCUGGCUCCCCACUGGCAGAGGGUGGAGAGCUGCGUGGGGUUGGCAGGUGGAGCAAAGGGGGAGGUACUUCCCUCAGCCAAUGGGGUGCGGGUCCGGUCGCCAUGGCAACGGGGCUCUCUGCAGGGCGGCAGGGGAGGCCUCGCCAACCAAGAUGGCGCCGGGGUAGCCCAUGCGGCGCAGGCAGCCAUCGUGGAACACCCGGUUGCAGACGCGACAGGGGAAGAGGCUCUCGGCUGUCCACACUUCACAGAUCUCGCACAUCUCAUCAUUGAGGACCUGUGGAGCAAUGCUGUAGCUCAGCACCAUGGGGUGCUCAGCAUGGCUCCCUGGCGUGGGGGCCCUACAUCACAGGUAUGUGUAGGAGUGCAGAGGGAACAGGAGAGCAAAUUCUUGGGAUAGUAGGAGGAAUGUCUGGCCAGGUGGCCAGCUGGCCUUAUAGGAGGGUUCAUGGAUUCACAGGAAUGAAUGAAAGGUGGAAGGGUAUGGCUGUAGGGUUGGUGGGGUUGUAAGUUCUCUGGAGUCCAGUGUUGUAGGUGUGGAUGAUCAGGUUGUUAGGCUGUAGGUUGGCUGGACUACAGGCUUAUGGGUGUGGGUAGAUGGAAGUUUUGAUUUGAGAGUUUGCUGACUGUGUGUGAAUGGACAAGCUGUAAAGUUGUUGGUUGGCUGGCGUGCCAGCUUGUAAUUGUGGGUAGGGUUGCAGAUGUGGGUUGGUGGCUAUAGGAUUGCAGGCAUGCAUGAAUAAACUAUGGAGUUGUAGAUUCACUGGGCUGUGAAAGUUGUAGGUGUGGAUUGUUGGGUUGGUCUGUAAGGUUGUGUGAACAAACACACAGAGUGGAUCACCCUAGAACAGGAAAGGUCCUAAUCCCAGAUUCUGCCCUGCUGAGCUGCAUGUGUGCCAUGGCCUAGCCUGCUGAGCCACCUAUCUCAGGGCGGUUUGUCACCACCCUGCAGGCAUUGGAGAUGCUUGCACAUCCCCUGUGUGUCUCCAACCCUGGCCUCAUCCCUACCACCCUGUCCCCAUGCCUGGCUGCUUGCCUGCUCCCGCUGCUCCAGGCUGAUGUCCAGUGGCUCAUCAUCAUGCAGCUCUCGCUGGGGCCGAAUGAAGGCAGGCGGUGUGAACCUGCUGGCUCGAUCAAACUCCUCUGGCUCCACACCUCGGCCAUCCCGCAGCCGCUCCCAGGCAGCCUUGCUGGCGCUGACUUCUUCUGGCUGUGAGGGCCCUGCGGAUGCCUCCUCCUCUGCCUCUUGCACUGUCUGCUCCAGUGUCCCCCGGCGUGUGCCCCCAGCCUCCGCCCGCCUCCGUGCCACUGGCUGCUCCCGCAGCCCAUCUUUGAAAGCGGACACAGCCAAGCUGACCUUCUGCACCUUCUCCACCGUCUGCCGUCUUGACAUCAACACCCCCAUGGCUCUGCAAGGGGGGAAAGGUGCUCAGUGCUAAGCUCUUGUGGUGCAGUGCUGCGCCUUACUGCUGUACCACUGAGACAAGUCCCUGGUCCCCAAAAUAUAUACCCUAGCAUAGUAUACUGGGAACUGUGCUAGGAUGGUGACCAUGGUGGCUGUGGGGAGAAGGAC